GAUGAACGCUGGCGGCGUGCUUAACACAUGCAAGUCGAACGGAAAGGCCCCGGCUUGGUGGGGUGCUCGAGUGGCGAACGGGUGAGUAACACGUGGGUAACCUGCCCUGCACUUCGGGAUAAGUUUAGGAAACUGGGGCUAAUACCGGAUAGGACCAUGUGCUGGAUGGUGGUGGUGGGAGAUUUUUCGGUGUGGGAUGGGCUCGCGGCUUAUCAGCUUGUUGGUGGGGUAGUGGCUUACCAAGGCGUUGACGGGUAGCCGGCCUGAGAGGGUGUACGGCCACAUUGGGACUGAGAUACGGCCCAGACUCCUACGGGAGGCAGCAGUGGGGAAUAUUGCACAAUGGGCGGAAGCCUGAUGCAGCGACGCCGCGUGCGGGAUGACGGCCUUCGGGUUGUAAACUGCUUUCGCCUGUGACGAAGCGUAAGUGACGGUACCUGGUGAAGAAGCACCGGCUAACUACGUG
RNAcentral lists this ribosomal RNA (466 nucleotides) under uncultured bacterium. Its description in RNAcentral is "partial 16S ribosomal RNA". It matches the Rfam family "Bacterial small subunit ribosomal RNA", at positions 28 to 507 of the family's 1533-position model. The record is from RNAcentral.